Molecule: ribosomal RNA, 468 nt
Filed under: uncultured bacterium
Lineage: Bacteria
Description: partial 16S ribosomal RNA
Rfam family: Bacterial small subunit ribosomal RNA
Source: RNAcentral
GACGAACGCUGGCGGCGUGCUUAACACAUGCAAGUCGAACGGAAAGGCCCUGCUUUUGUGGUGUGCUCGAGUGGCGAACGGGUGAGUAACACGUGAGUAACCUGCCCUUGACUUUGGGGUAACUUCAGGAAACUGGGGUUACUACCGGAUAGGAGCUCCUGCUGCAUGGUGGGGGUUGGAAAGUUUCGGCGGUUGGGGAUGGAUGCGCGGGUUAUCAGCUUGUUGGUGGGGUAGUGGCUUACCAAGGCUUUGACGGGUAGCCGGCCUGUGAGGGUGACCGGCGACAUUGGGACUGAGAGACGGACCAGAAUCCUACGGGAGGCAGCAGUGGGGAAUAUGGUACAAUGGGCGGAAGCCUGAUGCAGCAACGCCGCGUGCGGGAUGACGGCCUUCGGGGUGUAAACCGCUUUCGCCUGUGACGAAGCGUGAGUGACGGUAAUGGGUAAAGAAGCACCGGCUAACUACGUG